CCUCCAAAAAUAACUUCUCCGGUCGGGGAACGCAUUAGAUAUUUACCUAAACCUGUAGGUCCUUGAGCAGAUCCCACGUUCGCCCCAAGACGU
This 93-nucleotide transfer RNA is filed under the name Monimopetalum chinense. RNAcentral's name for it is "tRNA-Ser". Lineage: Eukaryota; Viridiplantae; Streptophyta; Magnoliopsida; Celastrales; Celastraceae. The record is from RNAcentral.